This 253-nucleotide ribosomal RNA is filed under the name uncultured bacterium. RNAcentral's name for it is "partial 16S ribosomal RNA". It matches the Rfam family "Bacterial small subunit ribosomal RNA", at positions 524 to 776 of the family's 1533-position model. The record is from RNAcentral.
UACAGAGGGUGCAAUCGUUGUUCGGAAUUAUUGGGCGUAAAGGGCGCGUAGGCGGUUCGGCAAGUCUCUAGUGAAAUCUCAGGGCUCAACUCUGAGUCUGCUGGGGAAACUGCCGGGCUUGAGUGUGGGAGAGGAGAGUGGAAUUCCCGGUGUAGCGGUGAAAUGCGUAGAUAUCAGGAGGAACACCAACGGCGAAGGCAGCUCGCUGGGACGGUACUGACGCUGAGGCGCGAAAGCGUGGGGAGCAAACAGG